UACGAAGGGGGCUAGCGUUGCUCGGAAUCACUGGGCGUAAAGCGCACGUAGGCGGCUUUUUAAGUCAGAGGUGAAAUCCUGGAGCUCAACUCCAGAACUGCCUUUGAUACUGGAGAGCUUGAGUCCGGGAGAGGUGAGUGGAACUGCGAGUGUAGAGGUGAAAUUCGUAGAUAUUCGGAAGAACACCAGUGGCGAAGGCGACUUACUGGACACAUAUUGACGCUGAGGUGCGAAAGCGUGGGGAGCAAACAGG
RNAcentral lists this ribosomal RNA (253 nucleotides) under uncultured bacterium. RNAcentral describes it as "partial 16S ribosomal RNA". It matches the Rfam family "Bacterial small subunit ribosomal RNA", at positions 524 to 776 of the family's 1533-position model. The record is from RNAcentral.